RNAcentral lists this small RNA (126 nucleotides) under Paracoccus halophilus. Its description in RNAcentral is "Alphaproteobacterial ar14". It matches the Rfam family "Alphaproteobacterial ar14". From Rfam's summary of the family: Smr14C2 was renamed NfeR1 (Nodule Formation Efficiency RNA) highly expressed in salt stress and during the symbiotic interaction on legume roots. Lineage: Bacteria; Pseudomonadati; Pseudomonadota; Alphaproteobacteria; Rhodobacterales; Paracoccaceae. The record is from Rfam by way of RNAcentral.
AGAAUACGGUGAAGCCCUCUCCUCCUCCCUGGGCUUCGCGGUAAAGGCGGCCUCCCCCUCCUCCUCCCUGGGGAAGCCGCCGACUUAUACGGCGGGACCGACCUCCUCCCUGGUCCCGCGGUGCAG